This 2796-nucleotide ribosomal RNA is filed under the name Clostridioides difficile. Its description in RNAcentral is "partial 23S ribosomal RNA". It matches the Rfam family "Bacterial large subunit ribosomal RNA". The record is from RNAcentral. Lineage: Bacteria; Bacillati; Bacillota; Clostridia; Peptostreptococcales; Peptostreptococcaceae.
GGUCAAGUUAUUAAGGGUGCAGGGCGGAUGCCUUGGCACUAGGAGCCGAUGAAGGACGUGAUAAGCUGCGAUAAGCUUCGGGGAGUUGCACGUAAACUUUGAUCCGAAGAUUUCCGAAUGAGGAAACUCACUUAGAGUAAUGUCUAAGUAUCAUUAAGUGAAUACAUAGCUUAAUGAGGGGAACUCAGGGAACUGAAACAUCUAAGUACCUGAAGGAAGAGAAAGAAAUUCGAUUCCGUAAGUAGCGGCGAGCGAACGCGGAUUAGCCCAAACCAAUAAAGUUUUCUUUAUUGGGGUUGCGGACAUAUCAUAACGAAGAGGUAUCGUAAUUGAAGAGGUUUGGAAAGACCCACCACAGAAGGUAAUAGUCCUGUAUGUUAAACGAGAAGACUUCAGAUAUGAUCCAGAGUACCACGGGACACGUGAAACCCUGUGGGAAGCAGGAGGGACCACCCUCCAAGGCUAAAUACUACCUAGUGACCGAUAGCGUAUAGUACCGUGAGGGAAAGGUGAAAAGAACCCCGGGAGGGGAGUGAAAUAGAACCUGAAACCCUGCACUUACAAGCUGUGGAAGCACAUUUCUUGUGUGACCGCGUACUUUUUGUAGAACGGGCCAACGAGUUACGUUAAGUAGCAAGGUUAAGCACUUAAGGUGUGGAGCCGUAGCGAAAGCGAGUUUUAACUGAGCGUUCAGUUACUUGACGUAGACCCGAAACCGGGCGACCUACCCAUGAGCAGGAUGAAGCGAAAGUAAAAUUUCGUGGAGGUCCGAACCCACGAGCGUUGAAAAGCUCGGGGAUGACUUGUGGGUAGCGGUGAAAUUCCAAUCGAGCCCGGAGAUAGCUGGUUCUCCCCGAAAUAGCUUUAGGGCUAGCCUCAAGGUGAGAGAUACGGAGGUAGAGCACUGAAUGUCCUAGGGGGUAUUGCACCUACCGAAGACUAUCAAACUCCGAAUGCCGUCAUCUUAUACUUGGGAGUCAGACUGUGGGUGAUAAGAUUCAUAGUCGAAAGGGCAACAGCCCAGAUCGUCAGCUAAGGUCCCUAAAUGUAAGUUAAGUGGUAAAGGAUGUGGGAUUGCACAGACAACCAGGAUGUUGGCUUAGAAGCAGCCACUCAUUCAAAGAGUGCGUAAUAGCUCACUGGUCGAGUGAUCCUGCGCCGAAGAUUUCCGGGGCUAAAACUUACUACCGAAGCUACGGCAUCAGUAAUGAUGGGUAGGGGAGCUUCCCAUACGGGUUGAAGCAUGACCGUAAGGACAUGUGGACAGUAUGGGAGUGAGAAUGUUGGCAUGAGUAGCGAGAUGUGGGUGAGAAUCCCACAGGCCGUAAACCCAAGGUUUCCAGGGGAAGGUUCGUCCGCCCUGGGUUAGUCGGGACCUAAGCUGAGGCCGAAAGGCGUAGGUGAUGGACAACAGGUUGAUAUUCCUGUACUACCGAUAACCGUUUGAGAGAAGGGAUGACACAGUAGGAUAAGCUAAGCACACUGUUGGUUAUGUGUGCCCAAGCAUUGAGGCAGUCAAAGUAGGCAAAUCCGCUUUGAUAAUGCUGGGAUGUGAUGGGGAGCGAAAUUUAGUAGCGAAGUAGCUGAUUUCACACUGUCAAGAAAAGUCUCUAUCGAGGUUAAAGGUACCCGUACCGCAAACCGACACAGGUGGGUGAGGAGAGUAUCCUAAGGCCAGCGAGAGAACUGUUGUUAAGGAACUCGGCAAAAUGACCCCGUAACUUAGGGAUAAGGGGUGCCACCAUCAGGUGGCCGCAGAGAAUAGGCCCAAGCGACUGUUUACCAAAAACAUAGGUUUCUGCUAAGUCGCAAGACGAUGUAUAGGAGCUGACGCCUGCCCGGUGCUGGAAGGUUAAGGGGAUCUGUUAGAGCAAUCGAAGCAGUGAACUUAAGCCCCAGUAAACGGCGGCCGUAACUAUAACGGUCCUAAGGUAGCGAAAUUCCUUGUCGGGUAAGUUCCGACCCGCACGAAAGGCGUAACGAUUUGGGCACUGUCUCAACAACAGACUCGGUGAAAUUGUAAUUCCGGUGAAGAUGCCGGAUACCUGCGACAGGACGGAAAGACCCCAUGGAGCUUUACUGUAGCUUGACAUUGGGUCUUGGUACUACAUGUACAGGAUAGGUGGGAGGCUUUGAAACCAGGACGCCAGUUUUGGCGGAGCCAUCCUUGGGAUACCACCCUUGUAGUACUGGGACUCUAACCAUAGGCCAUGAAUCUGGUCUUGGGACACUGUCAGGUGGGCAGUUUGACUGGGGCGGUCGCCUCCCAAAAGGUAACGGAGGCGCUCAAAGGUUCUCUCAGUACGGUCGGAAAUCGUACGUAGAGUGUAAAGGCAAAAGAGAGCUUGAUUGCAAGACAUACAGGUCGAGCAAGGAUGAAAAUCGGACUUAGUGAUCCGGUGGUUCUGCGUGGAAGGGCCAUCGCUCAACGGAUAAAAGCUACCCUGGGGAUAACAGGCUUAUCUCCCCCAAGAGUCCACAUCGACGGGGAGGUUUGGCACCUCGAUGUCGGCUCAUCACAUCCUGGGGCUGUAGUAGGUCCCAAGGGUUGGGCUGUUCGCCCAUUAAAGUGGUACGCGAGCUGGGUUCAGAACGUCGUGAGACAGUUCGGUCCCUAUCCGUCGCAGGCGUAGGAAAUUUGAGAAGACCUGUCCUUAGUACGAGAGGACCGGGAUGGACGUACCUCUGGUGUACCAGUUGUUCUGCCAAGGGCAUGGCUGGGUAGCUAUGUACGGAAUGGAUAAGCGCUGAAAGCAUCUAAGCGCGAAGCCAACUUCAAGAUAAGAUUUCCCACCG